This 257-nucleotide non-coding RNA is filed under the name Propionispora sp. RNAcentral describes it as "T-box sequence". It matches the Rfam family "T-box leader". Rfam says of the family: Uncharged tRNA acts as the effector for transcription antitermination of genes in the T-box leader family. T-boxes are found upstream of many aminoacyl-tRNA synthetase genes and some amino acid biosynthetic genes usually in Gram-positive bacteria. The record is from RNAcentral. Lineage: Bacteria; Bacillati; Bacillota; Negativicutes; Selenomonadales; Sporomusaceae.
UAAAUGACAAGGAAGAGGAAAAGUAGGUGUAUGGUUCUUAGCGGCAGCGAGUCGGGAACGGUGUAAGCCCGGUGCAAGCCAGACACACGAAGUUCGCCUCGGAGUUGCCCGCUGAAUUUCUGUUAAAGAGGAGAGUAGGCGGUUGCCGGGAGUUUGCCCGUUAUAGCAGGGGAGUAUCGGUUGGUACCCGUACUUCUAUAAAGUGAUUCGCCGACGCGGAUAAUCAAGGUGGUAACGCGAGACCUCUCGUCCUUAUA